Molecule: long non-coding RNA, 260 nt
Filed under: Lathyrus oleraceus (garden pea)
Lineage: Eukaryota; Viridiplantae; Streptophyta; Magnoliopsida; Fabales; Fabaceae
Description: Pisum sativum (pea) long non-coding RNA (PSAT_LNC007628)
Source: RNAcentral
UAUUUUUGAAUUUUUAAUGAAUUAAACAAAAUGAACAAAAUAAAUGGAAUAACAUGGAAAAUAUGGAGGGAAAUUCAAAUAUUUGAAUAAACUCAGAAUAAACCACAAACGCACGAUCUGGCGCGCAAUUCACAUCCACGGUCCAGGUUCAAAUCCAUGAAACGCAUUGUUUCAUUAAAACACCUCAUCAGCCUAAUCAUCAGUCAAAGCAAUGCGUGGCAAUGUCAAAGCAAUACAGUCCAAUCAUAUGUCCAAGCAAG